Long non-coding RNA from Syzygium oleosum, 275 nucleotides. RefSeq lists it as uncharacterized. The transcript is spliced from 2 exons. The record is from RefSeq and is a predicted model, not a curated record. Lineage: Eukaryota; Viridiplantae; Streptophyta; Magnoliopsida; Myrtales; Myrtaceae.
UGCUCCCAAAAAAGUUCUGGCUUCUGACUCUCAUUUACGUCCCGAUAGAUAUGCACUUGAGCAGGGUGACCUCCCUAAAGCUGGUGCUGAAAAGAGCAGGUUUCGUUACUUGGGUUCUGUUGCUGAGAAUAGAGGACGAGCACUUCAUGUUUCCGAACUUGAGGAGUUGUUGAGUGCUUGCACUGAGUUAGAAGUGAGCUUCAUAGUCUUCAAUCAUCAGUGGACCCUUAAUGCAAAUAUUGCAUAAAUUGAUCAAUUACAAAUCCAUUGUGUAA